This is a long non-coding RNA of Columba livia (rock pigeon), 3485 nucleotides long. RefSeq lists it as uncharacterized. The record is from RefSeq and is a predicted model, not a curated record. The transcript is spliced from 5 exons. NCBI's taxonomy places the organism in Eukaryota, Metazoa, Chordata, Aves, Columbiformes, Columbidae.
CUCUCACCCUCAUUCUGUCAUUAUUUCAGUUCCAUGUAUUGUCUUCAUCUUUUUGGAUAAGGAUGGUUCUCAGCAGUGUGGCAGCAGUUCAGAAAUUGCGCAGCCUCGGUGAUGCGGUCGGGAAGUGCUUCCAUCAAAGACUUCUGUAGGUGUAAUACAUCAGAGACUGCAGCGGCAGCAACCGGACCUGAGCAUCAAAUCUCUCUCACCUUCUGCACAAAGGAAGGAAUCAGCAGAAACUGGGGCAAUUGCAUGAGACAGAAGCUUAAAUGAGGCGGGAAUAAGGAAUUCGUAAAGCCACGUUAUCCUCUCUCUAUCCCUCAGUGGUUUGUGGUUGCUACAACUAUCAAGGAAGCUGAACAGGUUUCUGUACGUGAUCUGUUUCGCGGAUCCGAUGUGACAACCCUAGACCUCCAGGAAAUUUAGGUCCAGGUUGGUGCAAGCUGAGGGUAGUGCUGCGGUUGUCCCAGCCGCAAGUGGUGCUCACCGAUGGACUGGAAGUACUGGAUGGCGUGCUGGGCAGGGCCAUGGUACAGCACCCUCCCUGCUGCCAGCAGCGUCAGGUUGUCAAACAGGCGGAAUAUGGAGUACCGAGGCUGGUGGAUGGAGAAGAUGAUGGUUUUCCCUUGUUUUGCCAUCCUGGAUGUAAAGAACGACAGAGAUGUUAGCUUUCCAAUUAAUCUCGGCAUUUAGAUGAGAGAAUUUGCAAGUUCAGAGGUGGAGGCCGGCAAGGGAAUGCUGCGGGCAUGCAAAGAGGACAGCACAGCCUCACACCACCAGCACAGGACCACGCAGCCCUCAUGCUCAGGAACACGCAUAGGAAAUUAAAACCAUUUGAGUAAAUAAGGACAAUGCAAUUCAGGCAAUCUGUAAGUUAAUUGCCAGCCGAUUUAGUGGGGAUUUGUAACCUGCCUUCCGUGAAAAGAGCCCUGUGUGUUAGUUGGGUCCGGAGAAAGCAGUGCUCGUUGGGUGCAGGUGUUUGCACGCCUAUUAUCUACAGUGCAUCAAUAUGCAUGGGUGAACCCUCAGUACAGUAGUUCCUGCAACAUAUUCUAACUUUUCACUUUUUACUGUUUUUCCUUUAAGCCUUGAUGCUUUUAUCCCCCAUUUAGAAAACAUAUUUACAUGAAUUUCCUGCCAAAUUUCUCAUUAAAGUCCAUUGAAAAGUUGGGAAAAGGUAGGCAAGUGUUUCACUGCUUUUUCCUUCAUAGUUGUAGGAAAAACAGCUGCAGAAUCUAAUUCCUGAGCAAAGGCAGAGUAAGCAAUUUGCGGAGGAGGAAGCAAGCCACUAAACAGAAUUAAAUCUCUCCCGACAAACGGGCUGAAGCGCCGCUCCCAACUCACCAGCAGCAGGUUCGGCUCAGUGCUGCAGGGUGCUGAGGAGGCAGCAGAAAGACAGCAGGAGCCGGGGAGGAGAAGAGCAGAGCCUGGUGCGUGGAGACACUGCCUUGACGGCUCCUCAGCAUGUGGAACCGCGCAGCGACACCCGUGCCAUCGCGGCUGCCGCGACACAGCAGCAGCUGUGUCCCCGUCACCCCGGGGAGUCUCCACCCUCCCCCUGGCGCUGGGGAAGCCACAGAGCUUUAUGGGGAGGGCAGGGCCAGGACGAGCCACGACUUUCACUUUUUUUUUUUUUCCCUUUCGCAGAGCAAGUUGUAGGUGAGCUGCAGCACAGCCCCUCCUCGGGAGCCGGCCCAAGCCACCCGCAUGGGGAGCGCUGACGUUUGGGUACAGUCCAGCAUCUUCACCGCCAGAGGCUCACGGCGAUGGCAGAGCCUGGCAGUGCCGGCAGCAUGUGGUGGAUGCCGGCAGGGUGCAGCAGAUGCUGGUGUGGCAUGGCGGACUAGCCUGUGAAGUCUUCUCCUUGCAGACAGGCGCUACCUGGGCAAUGUUUUCCUUCAGGUGAAGGCACUUGCGGUAAUGCAAAGGCUGCGCUGGCGCCCAUCAGAGCAGGGUUUUCACAGGAGAACAUGUGGGGAGGUAAUUGGUGCUGUGGAGGGAAACAAAGUUGAGGCACCUUUGUUAUAUGAAGCAGGGCCAUCAAUGCCUGACACACACCAUCAGUCCUGGACAGCAUCCCCAGGAGCACUUGGCAGUGCCAGCCACAGCUUCCCAGCAGCUGCAUGAACAUCUGGCAUGGGGCUGGUGGUAGGCACCACUCCUCCCAUCUGCCCCUUGACACAGCUUUGCCAGGACAGCUGAGCCCAGCAAUGCCAAAGAUGAGGCUGGCUGGGCUCUGGCGGGGCUGAGGAAACUCCCCCAGCUCAGCCAGGCUGCCCACGCUUGGCCCAUGUCCCGGGCACCAUUCCGCAGGAGGGCACAGCCAGCGCUCGGACAGGCACCAACCUGCAUGGUUGCAAUUGUUCUCCUUGGCAGAGUGACACAGAGGAGCACACAUUGCAGAUGGUUUCCAGUUAAAAGCAUUAGCUUUAUGCUCUCGUUUUCCUAGCGAGACUCAUCACUAAUUAAUAAACACCAAAGCUGCCCAUAACAGCCAUCCAGGUCAGGACAUCACAAGGCCAGAUUUUUUAGCCAGCUGUAACCUGGGAUGGGUAAGUAUCUCAUAGUUCAGGAAUCACGCUCCUAGGAUUUUGUUCUUUCCUUUAUUACUAAUUUGAUCAUAAUUAACUCUGUACUUUAGUUAUACCAAACUUCAAAGCAUCCUAGGAGCUAGUGAAGACUAUUGCAUAGUCCAAAUAGUAUUGAAGAAGGUGCAUGUAUGACCCAAUAUAUGCAAAAAUACUAUUAUGUCACUUGUGGAGUAUAUCCACAGGCUGGCCUGGAAACCUCAGCAGACCCUUUGCAGUCUCAGAUCUGGGCUAUCCCCAGGUGAGUCAGGAAAAAACAGUGUUUGCACAGGAUGCAGUCAGGGGAGGCUCUCGCUCUCAGCAUGGCUGGUACUCAUGCCGAAAUAAAACCAAAGAGCAAUAAAAAAGGAAUGGAAAACUAUAGGAGUUUGUUGGUGGUGUGUGUUUGUUUUUCCUCACAGAUACUUGCACUGCUGUUAAAACACAGUAUGAAUGGUUUUUUUCAGUUGUGGGCACAGGUAUCCUUGAGAUAAUUUCUGAGUGAGUCAAUACACAGUUGUUCCUGUCUUCAGACAUGGAGUAGGCUAUCUAAAGUAAAUCCGCAGCUCAUGCUCACAUUAUAGUCUGAGACACUGAGUGACAAGUAUUCAGCCUGUCUUUCUGCAGUUUCAGGGGAUGACUGGGGGUUAUUUAAUUUCACUCAGAAGUUUUCUCUCUUAGAGCACAUGUACUAGUUAGGCUGCUGGGACCAUGCUCUGAUGGGCGCCAGCGCAGCCUUUGCAUUACUGCAGGCUCUGCCAUCCCGUCAGGUUUGUUGUUACUGUGGGGCUGCCCAGGGCAUCGGGUGAGCACAGACCUCAUGUACAGCUGCAGAGCCAGAGAUCUGCACCCACAGAGGUGAGCGCACGCCUCACUCAUAAAUUCCCCCCGAUAAAUUCUUUAUCUGUCUGUUUCCAA